AUUGAUUUAUAACUAUACACUCUUAAAAAAGUUCCGGUAAAAUUUACACGAACUGUUCAGGCGAUUUUUUACGCCUGAAACUUCAGGCGAAACAACUGAAUGUUCGAUCGAUGCGUUCUGACGAUGUCUUUUGCCUGAACAGUUCAGGAUUAGUUUAGAUCAACAGUUACAGUUAAUAUAAAUUAUUCCUGAACUUUAGACAAACUGCACGAACCUGUAAAAACCGGAACUUUUAAUCUUAACUUUUUGCUUUUUAAAAGAAUGUGCUCGGUAAUGAUAAAAAAUUUAAACACUCAUGAGUUGAUUAAUCAUUUGAUUUCAAAAGGAAUUUCUGUGGAAACAACUGCUAAAUUGUCAAGUGAAGAUAUUGACGGAGAUGCAUUUUUGCAAAUGAACUCUGUUUUGUUUCAUUGUAUUGGAAUAAAAAUGGGUCAAGCUAUAAAGCUUCAGUCUAUCAUUGCAGCAGAAAAGGUGAAUUUAAUAUUAUAAUGUACUUUUUCACUUGCUUCCAUACAUUCUUCAAGUGCCUUCUAGAAAUAAGGAUCGACCGUCUACAGCUGAAGUUGCAGCUCACUUUAUUCAAAUCUUUCCUGAAACUACAGCUAUGGAGACGAUAAUUGAUGCAAAUAGACAUACCUCUUUCAUGCAUCCAUUUGUUAUUGCACUAGGGGCUCGAGGCAAUUUGAUUCAGUCAUUUAUUUUUAUAGAAGACAAUGUUAUUCCUAUUAGAAAUGGCAUGUUAAGUGCAGUCGACCGUUUUCUGAAACUAUAUUUUGUAAUCGAUAUUAAAUAUGCGAAAGAGUGCAAACAUGUUUUACAUUUUUUGCAAUGUGUAGUUAUGGGUAUUCAUGACGAUUUGCCGUUGUCAAGAGGAGGCAGUGAUCUUUCGUUGUUUGUUAUUGAAAAAUUAAGGAGUGGAUAAACUUUUAAAUGUUUUUAUUUUAAAGGGUACGAAAAUAUAUUAUAUCAAGAAAAUAUCACGUACUUUAUAAACAAUCAUGUUUGUAAUUCUGUUGAAACUUAUAAUAUAAAUUAUAAAAUUGUUUAAUUGAAUAAACAUGAGCUUUUUUUUUUUAA
Long non-coding RNA from Hydra vulgaris (swiftwater hydra), 1077 nucleotides. RefSeq lists it as uncharacterized. NCBI's taxonomy places the organism in Eukaryota, Metazoa, Cnidaria, Hydrozoa, Anthoathecata, Hydridae. The record is from RefSeq and is a predicted model, not a curated record.